GCCCGGGUAGCACAGUGGUAGCUGCGCCUGCCUAGUAAGCAGGAGGUCCGCGGUUCGAUCCCGCGUCUGGGCA
Ophiostoma piceae is the source of this 73-nucleotide transfer RNA. It matches the Rfam family "tRNA". From Rfam's summary of the family: Transfer RNA (tRNA) molecules are approximately 80 nucleotides in length. The record is from Rfam. Lineage: Eukaryota; Fungi; Ascomycota; Sordariomycetes; Ophiostomatales; Ophiostomataceae.